CACGGGGGGAGCGAGCGUUGUUCGGAAUCACUGGGCGUAAAGGGCGUGUAGGCGGUUCGGUAAGUGGGAUGUGAAAGCCCUCGGCUUACCCGAGGAAAGUCAUCUCAUACUGCUGGACUUGAGUGCGGGAGAGGAUGGAGGAAUUCCUGGUGUAGCGGUGAAAUGCGUAGAUAUCAGGAGGAACACCGGUGGCGAAGGCGUCCAUCUGGCCCGUUACUGACGCUGAGGCGCGAAAGCUAGGGGAGCAAACGGG
RNAcentral lists this ribosomal RNA (253 nucleotides) under uncultured bacterium. RNAcentral's name for it is "partial 16S ribosomal RNA". It matches the Rfam family "Bacterial small subunit ribosomal RNA", at positions 524 to 776 of the family's 1533-position model. The record is from RNAcentral.